RNAcentral lists this ribosomal RNA (439 nucleotides) under uncultured bacterium. RNAcentral describes it as "partial 16S ribosomal RNA". It matches the Rfam family "Bacterial small subunit ribosomal RNA", at positions 339 to 795 of the family's 1533-position model. The record is from RNAcentral.
CUACGGGUGGCAGCAAUGGGGAAUAUUGCACAAUGGAGGAAACUCUGAUGCAGCAACGCCGCGUGGAGGAUGACACUUUUCGGAGCGUAAACUCCUUUUAUAUAGGAAGAAGAUGACGGUACUAUAUGAAUAAGCGCCGGCUAACUCCGUGCCAGCAGCCGCGGUAAUACGGAGGGCGCAAGCGUUACUCGGAAUCACUGGGCGUAAAGAGCGUGUAGGCGGAUUAAAAAGUCAGAAGUGAAAUCCUAUAGCUUAACUAUAGAACUGCUUCUGAAACUCUUAAUCUAGAAUAUGGGAGAGGUAGAUGGAAUUUCUGGUGUAGGGGUAAAAUCCGUAGAGAUCAGAAGGAAUACCGAUUGCGAAGGCGAUCUACUAGAACAUUACUGACGCUGAGACGCGAAAGCGUGGGGAGCAAACAGGAUUAGAUACCCUGGUAGUC